This 253-nucleotide ribosomal RNA is filed under the name uncultured bacterium. RNAcentral describes it as "partial 16S ribosomal RNA". It matches the Rfam family "Bacterial small subunit ribosomal RNA", at positions 524 to 776 of the family's 1533-position model. The record is from RNAcentral.
UACGUAGGUGGCAAGCGUUGUCCGGCUUUACUGGGCGUAAAGGAUGCGUAGGCGGACAUUUAAGUCAGAUGUGAAAUACCCGAGCUUAACUUGGGUGCUGCAUUUGAAACUGGGUGUCUAGAGUGCAGGAGAGGUAAGUGGAAUUCCUAGUGUAGCGGUGAAAUGCGUAGAGAUUAGGAAGAACACCAGUGGCGAAGGCGACUUACUGGACUGUAACUGACGCUGAGGCAUGAAAGCGUGGGGAGCAAACAGG